Molecule: non-coding RNA, 30 nt
Filed under: Rattus norvegicus (Norway rat)
Lineage: Eukaryota; Metazoa; Chordata; Mammalia; Rodentia; Muridae
Source: RNAcentral
UCCAUCCAUCUACCAACCAGUCAUGUUUGG